CCUACGGGUGGCUGCAGUGGGGAAUAUUGGGCAAUGGGCGCAAGCCUGACCCAGCAACGCCGCGUGAAGGAAGAAGGCUCUCGGGUUGUAAACUUCUUUUAUUAGGGACGAAGCAAGUGACGGUACCGGAUGAAUAAGCCACGGCUAACUACGUGACAGCAGCCGCGGUAAUACGGAGGUGGCAAGCGUUAUCCGGAUUUACUGGGUGUAAAGGGCGUGUAGGCGGGAAAGCAAGCCAGAUGUGAAAACCAUGGGCUCAACCUGUGACCUGCAUUUGAAACUGUUAUUCUUGAGUACGGGAGAGGCAGACGGAAUUCCUAGUGUAGCGGUGAAAUGCGUAGAUAUUAGGAGGAACACCAGUGGCGAAGGCGGUCUGCUGGACAGCAACUGACGCUGAGGCGCGAAAGCGUGGGGAGCAAACAGGAUUAGAUACCCGGGUAGUC
Molecule: ribosomal RNA, 443 nt
Filed under: uncultured bacterium
Lineage: Bacteria
Description: partial 16S ribosomal RNA
Rfam family: Bacterial small subunit ribosomal RNA
Source: RNAcentral